GCGGCGGACGGGUGAGUAAUGCCUAGGAAUCUGCCUGGUAGUGGGGGACAACGUUUCGAAAGGAACGCUAAUACCGCAUACGUCCUACGGGAGAAAGUGGGGGAUCUUCGGACCUCACGCUAUCAGAUGAGCCUAGGUCGGAUUAGCUAGUUGGUGGGGUAACGGCUCACCAAGGCGACGAUCCGUAACUGGUCUGAGAGGAUGAUCAGUCACACUGGAACUGAGACACGGUCCAGACUCCUACGGGAGGCAGCAGUGGGGAAUAUUGGACAAUGGGCGGAAGCCUGAUCCAGCCAUGCCGCGUGUGUGAAGAAGGCCCUCGGGUCGUAAAGCACUUUAAGCUGGGAGGAAGGGUUGUAACCUAAUACGUUGCAAUUUUGACGUUACCAGCAGAAUAAGCACCGGCUAACUCUGUGCCAGCAGCCGCGGUAAUACAGAGGGUGCAAGCGUUAAUCGGAAUUACUGGGCGUAAAGCGCGCGUAGGUGGCUUGGUAAGUUGAAUGUGAAAUCCCCGGGCUCAACCUGGGAACUGCAUCCAAAACUGCCUGGCUAGAGUACGGUAGAGGGUGGUGGAAUUUCCUGUGUAGCGGUGAAAUGCGUAGAUAUAGGAAGGAACACCAGUGGCGAAGGCGACCACCUGGACUGAUACUG
RNAcentral lists this ribosomal RNA (651 nucleotides) under uncultured Pseudomonas sp. RNAcentral's name for it is "bacterial SSU rRNA". It matches the Rfam family "Bacterial small subunit ribosomal RNA", at positions 95 to 742 of the family's 1533-position model. The record is from RNAcentral. Lineage: Bacteria; Pseudomonadati; Pseudomonadota; Gammaproteobacteria; Pseudomonadales; Pseudomonadaceae.